This 107-nucleotide small nuclear RNA is filed under the name Notamacropus eugenii (tammar wallaby). The record is from RNAcentral. Lineage: Eukaryota; Metazoa; Chordata; Mammalia; Diprotodontia; Macropodidae.
AUGCUUGCUUCAGCAGCACAUAUACUAAAAUUGGAAAAUUACAGAGAAGAUUAGCAUGGCCCCUGCACAAAUAUGAUAUGCAAAUUAGUGAAGCAUUCCAUAUUUUU